AUGUGGUGCUUUGUAUAUAGUGGAUAUACCUGUUCCCAUCCCGAACACAGAAGUCAAGCAUUAUGUAACCGACAAUAGGAUAGUAUCUGAAGAUAGGUUGUGCCACAUC
RNAcentral lists this ribosomal RNA (109 nucleotides) under Mycoplasmataceae bacterium. The record is from RNAcentral. Lineage: Bacteria; Bacillati; Mycoplasmatota; Mollicutes; Mycoplasmatales; Mycoplasmataceae.